CCUACGGGCGGCUGCAGUGGGGAAUCUUGCGCAAUGGGGGGAACCCUGACGCAGCGACGCCGCGUGCGGGACGGAGGCCUUCGGGUCGUAAACCGCUUUCAGCAGGGAAGAGUCAAGACUGUACCUGCAGAAGAAGCCCCGGCUAACUACGUGCCAGCAGCCGCGGUAAUACGUAGGGGGCGAGCGUUAUCCGGAUUCAUUGGGCGUAAAGCGCGCGUAGGCGGCCCGGCAGGCCGGGGGUCGAAGCGGGGGGCUCAACCCCCCGAAGCCCCCGGAACCUCCGCGGCUUGGGUCCGGUAGGGGAGGGUGGAACACCCGGUGUAGCGGUGGAAUGCGCAGAUAUCGGGUGGAACACCGGUGGCGAAGGCGGCCCUCUGGGCCGAGACCGACGCUGAGGCGCGAAAGCUGGGGGAGCGAACAGGAUUAGAUACCCCAGUAGUC
Molecule: ribosomal RNA, 441 nt
Filed under: uncultured Collinsella sp.
Lineage: Bacteria; Bacillati; Actinomycetota; Coriobacteriia; Coriobacteriales; Coriobacteriaceae
Description: partial 16S ribosomal RNA
Rfam family: Bacterial small subunit ribosomal RNA
Source: RNAcentral